GACCCUGGAGCAGCUCAUCCAGAAGGGCAUGGAGGUGCAGGACGGCCUGGAGCGGGCGGCCGAGCCCACUGGCCCCCACCCGCCCGCUGAGGAAGAGGCCGAGGCCCUCACGCCCGCCCUCACCAACGAGUCCGUAGCCAGCGACCGGACUCAGCCUGAGUAGAGGGUGCCGGGCCCCGCCUGCCCGCCCGUGGCCCUUGCCCGCCGGGACUUUAGAGUGGCCCGCCCCUGCAGGGGAGCCCUUAAUCUCCUCGUGCAGCUGGACACUCACCUCAGCCUCCUAGCCCAACUCCAACAGACACGCGUGACCCAGAUGCGGGCAGUGUUCCCCAGACAGCCAAGGGGCUUCCCUUCCUUGCAGACCCAGCCCUCACCCUCCCUGCGUCUGUCUUCCCCGGUGGUGGACUGGCCUGAGUCAGCAACCCCGCCCUCCAUACUCUCAGGCCAUGACAGUUUCCUCAUCCUGCUCAAUGCCUGGGCCCUCUGGGCACUCAGAAACCCAGUGUCCAGAUGGCACGGGCUGGCGUGCACCCAGCUCAAGGAACACCCCAGAGCAGAAGCUCAGGGGCCACCGGUGCCCCCGGAGCCUGGGCUUCAGGGAAGCUACUUCUCCUGGCAGUCGCCGUGACUGGCUGGCACCCCUGCUGCCUCUCGGGGCAGCUGGCCAGCCUUGGGCAGUGUGGCUCCCUCCCCCUGGAGGAGAGCCCAAGCUCAAGACACAGCAGCAGCAGCCGCCGCCGCAGUGGCAACAGACCUGGCGAUCUGGGGCCUCCUNNNNNNNNNNNNNNNNNNNNNNNNNNNNNNNNNNNNNNNNNNNNNNNNNNNCAAGCGCCCCCGACCACCACCCGCCGCCGCAGUGGCAACAGACCUGGCGAUCUGGUGCCUCCUGGCCCCUCAGCACCAGUGAUUCACGCCAGCCUGGAGAGGGACAGAGCCCCGCGCGAUGACUCACCCAUGGCAGGCGGCAGGUCCCCUGGGGCCUGAGUCCUCCAGCCGGCUGAGGCAGCAGCCGGCCUCUGCCGCCAGGAAAGCGAGUGACGACAGGUAUGCAGGGGACCCCGCCCCUGGCUGUCCUCACCAAGGGCCCCCCAGCUCCCCCCAGCCAGCCUAGCUGAGAAACAGCCCCCCAGGACCCCAAGGGCUUGCUCUCUGAGAGGUCAGCCCUGCCCCGCCCUGCCCUGGCGGUCCCUGAGUCCCUGACCACCUGUGUCUUCCUUCCUUUCAGGUCUCCAGGCUCCAUGUAGUGGAGCCUUUGCUGCUGUGCCCGGCACUGUCCCUUGUCCUCUCCCCCUACAAGCUGCCUGCACGAGAGGAGAAGCCUGAGACCAGAGGAGGGGGCCUAACAGAGAGCUGGUGGUG
RNAcentral lists this long non-coding RNA (1359 nucleotides) under Bos mutus (wild yak). RNAcentral's name for it is "lncRNA (ENSBMUG00000011341.1)". The record is from RNAcentral. Lineage: Eukaryota; Metazoa; Chordata; Mammalia; Artiodactyla; Bovidae.